Molecule: long non-coding RNA, 138 nt
Organism: Thalassophryne amazonica
Lineage: Eukaryota; Metazoa; Chordata; Actinopteri; Batrachoidiformes; Batrachoididae
Exons: 3
Source: RefSeq, a predicted model, not a curated record
GCCUAUAUAUAACAUACCAGGUAUCAUGGAUCAGAUCAAGGGAGCAGCAUCUUAGUUCCAGACCAAAAAGAUGAAUGUUAUGGAGUGGCCAGCCCAAUCCCAGGACCUUAAUCCAACAGAAAAUUUAUGGGGUGACAU